Molecule: RNA transcript, 878 nt
Organism: Zea mays
Lineage: Eukaryota; Viridiplantae; Streptophyta; Magnoliopsida; Poales; Poaceae
Gene name: triose phosphate/phosphate translocator, chloroplastic-like
Exons: 8
Source: RefSeq, a predicted model, not a curated record
AUAACACACAUCACUAGUAAUGUGUCCUUCGCUGCUGUUGCAGUCUCAUUUGCUCACACUAUCAAAGCUCUGGAGCCCUUCUUCAGCGCAGCUGCUACUCAGUUUAUCCUUGGACAGCAAGUUCCCUUCUCUCUGUGGCUUUCUCUUGCCCCUGUGGUCCUUGGUGUUUCAAUGGCAUCCCUUACUGAGCUUUCAUUCAACUGGACUGGCUUCAUCAAUGCCAUGAUAUCAAACAUCUCAUUCACUUACAUGAGCAUUUAUUCCAAGAAAGCUAUGACUGACAUGGAUAGCACCAACGUGUAUGCUUACAUCUGAAUAAUUGCUCUAAUUGUUUGCAUUCCACCUGCAUUGAUCUUUGAAGGGCCCCAGCUAAUGCAGCAUGGAUUUAGUGAUGCCAUUGCAAAAGUAGGUUUGACAAAGUUUGUCAGUGACCUAUUCUUGGUUGGACUGUUCUACCAUCUGUAUAAUCAGAUUGCUACAAACACCUUGGAGCGAGUGGCUCCUCUGACACAUGCUGUCGGGAAUGUGUUGAAACGUGUUUUUGCCAUCGGUUUCUCAAUCAUUGUUUUUGGCAACAAAAUUAGCACACAAACUGGAAUUGGCACGUCCAUUGCCAUAGCUGGUGUUGCUAUGUACUCUUACAUUAAGGCUAAGAUUGAAGAGGAGAAAAGGAAAAAGAGCGCAUGACUGCUGUGAAUAAUAUUAUCGGGACCUUCCUCGGACACAACAUCGUCGACAAUCACGACCUACUUCUAUACCUUGUUUUGUUUUCAUCUUGAGUCAGUCGGUCCAUUGUUUGUUCCCAGUCUGGUGAUUAAAAGUCUGCAAAUUCUGUUUGUGGAAUUGGCAGCGAUACAAAUUUGGCUUCUUUAAGUAAA